RNAcentral lists this ribosomal RNA (492 nucleotides) under uncultured bacterium. Its description in RNAcentral is "partial 16S ribosomal RNA". It matches the Rfam family "Bacterial small subunit ribosomal RNA", at positions 29 to 507 of the family's 1533-position model. The record is from RNAcentral.
AGUGAACGCUGGCGGUAGGCCUAACACAUGCAAGUCGAACGGCAGCACAGUAAGAGCUUGCUCUUACGGGUGGCGAGUGGCGGACGGGUGAGGAAUACAUCGGAAUCUACUUUUUCGUGGGGGAUAACGUAGGGAAACUUACGCUAAUACCGCAUACGACCUACGGGUGAAAGCAGGGGAUCUUCGGACCUUGCGCGAUUGAAUGAGCCGAUGUCGGAUUAGCUAGUUGGCGGGGUAAAGGCCCACCAAGGCGACGAUCCGUAGCUGGUCUGAGAGGAAGAUCAGCCACACUGGAACUGAGACACGGUCCAGACUCCUACGGGAGGCAGCAGUGGGGAAUAUUGGACAAUGGGCGCAAGCCUGAUCCAGCCAUACCGCGUGGGUGAAGAAGGCCUUCGGGUUGUAAAGCCCUUUUGUUGGGAAAGAAAGGCAGCAGGUUAAUACCCCGCUGUUCUGACGGUACCCAAAGAAUAAGCACCGGCUAACUUCGUG